AUAAGAAUCAAACCCAGUUCAAGUGAAAGCCACUAUAUUCUCAUUGGAAACAUUGAACAGAAAGAACUGUUCCCCAGUCAAGUGUUUUCAAGAACUUGUCAAGGUCAGAUUGACCGCGAAAGUUUUGAUUGAUAAUUUAAGAAGCUCAAGAAAAGACAAUGGUUAAUCGCAGAAUCUGAAAGCGAGAGAGAGAGAGAGAUGACGGA
RNAcentral lists this unclassified non-coding RNA (206 nucleotides) under Hevea brasiliensis (rubber tree). The record is from RNAcentral. Lineage: Eukaryota; Viridiplantae; Streptophyta; Magnoliopsida; Malpighiales; Euphorbiaceae.